GACAGAUUGAGAAAGUAGUUAAAGCAACUUAUGAGAUCCAAGGUUUAAUAAGUAGUCGCAGAGAUCCAAAACAAGGAAGUUAUGCUGAACAUUUAUACAACACUGGUUCAGCUGAUUAGCAUAUUCUAUUUAAUUUUUAGGAAUCACAAUUGGAAGGCUGUGGGAACUUCAGACAGGGUUUGGAAAGAUUUACCUGAAUGGUCACAGGAAAAAUGAAUUUGCGUGGCAAGUUACAUUGGAGAAGAGUGUAAGGAGAUUUGAUAAAGAUGUUCAAAAUCAUAACAAUCUAGACAAUAGAUGGAGCAAUAUUGUCUCAUUGAUAGCCAUAAACAUCCAACACUGCGAUGCAUGACAAAAGAACAAGCAACAAGAAAAGGAAACACCAUGUUGUGUAACGAGUUGUUAGGAUCUGGAAUGCACUGCCCGAACACGUGGUGGAGAUAGAUCUGAUCAUGACUUUCAGAGGAGAAUUGGCUAAUUUUUCUGAAGUGAAACCACUUUUGGAAAGGGCUGGGGAGUGGGAUUAAUUAAUGUCCUUUUGAAUAGAGCUGGCAUGUAAACAGUGGGUCAACUGGCCUCCUUUUUGCAGUUGCCAUUUCUAAGAUGCAUAAUGAUUGGAUUUUCUUUUGUGACAUUGCCUUAGAGAAGCAACUUCACUAAAAUGUGACAAAUUAUAUAACUGAAGAGGGAGAAGGUAUAUUUUUGUCUUUAAAUAAUCUGAACAGGCAAAAUACACCAUCUACACAGCCUUGUUUUACUUAAGUGUGUAAAAAUAUCCUUAUUUAGUGUACAAGUGAAUGUAGUUUAUUUGGCUGACAAGCUUUAUUGUGAAAUCUAUAUUUGUCCCUCGAAAACUCCCCUGCAAACAUCCUACCCCACACGUUACAUUUAGCUUUAACUCAGGUGUUCAUAGACCUAUCAUGUCCCCUAAUAUCUUAAAGUCACUUCACGACCUUGUGACUUGUCCUUGCGCUAUGUUGCAGUCUCUUCCAGCUCUGUGUACCUUCCAAUUUAGACUUUGCAACUCCCCACUACCAUUUUUAACUUUGAAGAUGCUAUAUAUAAGUUAUUGCACAUUAUCAAUAAUGUUGUGUUUUGCAUACUUUUGUUUUUGUUCAUUUGUUUCUGUAUCUUAGUAUUUUAAAUUUUAUCUAUUUGUUUUCUUGAUGCAACUUGCAUGGACUGUGGCAGAGACACAGCCACAUUUUAAACUGUGGAAAACAUCAGGGACGAUACAGAGUUUGGAAGGAACUGAGUUAUGCUGAUAAUUUGGAGUGGUCGUGUCAUGGAAAGAAUGCGCAACAGAAGAACUAAAUUACGUAGAGUUAUACAGCAUGGAAACAGACCCUUCAGUCCAACUUGUCUACGCCGACCAGAUAUCCUAAACUGAUACAGUCCUAUUUACUAGCUUUUGGCCCAUAUCUCUCUAAACCAUUCUUAUUCAUAUCACCCAUCCAGAUGCCUUUUGUAGUGAUUAUAAUAAGUAUUUCAAAUUUUUAUGGUGAAUAACAUAUGUGGAAAAAUAUUGCACAAAUGGCAGCUGCCAUUUUGUGUUUUUCUUUCUUUUGAUUUCACUUGCUACUAUUUUUGUGUGAUUUGCUUCUUAAUUCCAGAUUUGAUAACACAGUCACAGGUUGGAUUAAAAUUUCAGCCAAGCCUUGCUGUCACAGUUGUCUCUAUUUUAACAUCCUAGUACGAACAAGAUGUCUGCAAAUCUCGUAAUGGUUUUUUUCCUCCACAACACAACCAGCUGACAGUUCUUCUGAAACUAUUAUGCGCCCUGAAGUGUAUCAGCUUCUGAACAAUGGUUUUAUUUUAGUUUAUGAACUUUCUAUGUUGCGGAUGUGAGUGUAAAAUGUGACCAAAUAUUGUGGUUGAUCUUGUGUAGAAAUUGACAUUUUGGCGUAACUGUUACUUGUUGUGGAUACAUAGCAACAAGAGCACUACCUUAAUUCUAUGUUCAGUUUUUUCCAAUUCUAUUUAUCCUUUGUUCCUUCAGCUGCCUAUAUAACCAAUUGAAAGUUGACAUGGUCUCUGCUUCAGUGUCUUUAACUCUUAUAGUGCUUUUCUCAAUCUCCAUGAUUAGGUUUCAAGUGUGAGCUAAAUUCUAAACAUUCAACUUGUGAUUAGUCAGCAUUUAGAUCACCAUAAUUUCUAUAAUACUGGUGGUCUUUGUAGCUAAGUGUUGAUGUGCAAUCUGUUUGAAUUAAUGUACUGGAAUUCAUAACUUGAUCUUUGUUUCUCCCCAGGAAAAUGGAGUACAGUUGAAGUCAUAGAAAUUUUCAAUUUGUGCAACAUGGACCAGGAAAAGAACAGAUUGCACAGGCUGCCUGGUCAGAUGUUAUCAGCUAUCAGAAUUGCAACAAAUAUCCUUCAUUCUGACCGUGCUGUCUGAUCCUGCUAUGUCUAUCCAUUGUUUUUGGUUUUAAUUAAUCUAAAUUGGAUAAAGCAAGACAAUGCUGAACCCACUAUUCACUGAGGACAUCCUGUUGCCAUCACUAUUCGCUUGUUGUACCAUUAUCAACUCUCACUCCUUCACAGUAAUGAUGCAAAAACUACAGCUGAAGUAUGUAGAAAAAUGUCAAACAGGGCAUGUUGCAAGAUGACCCACUUCAGAAAGAACUAACCCAUUUAACAAGUGGACUUACAUAUUAUGCUUAAACUGAAAAGUUUGAGUUCUCUUUGCACUGUUCCCACAGUUCAUGUUAUGGGACUAAUGAAUAUUGACGAGUGUAUAUUGGUUGUACAUUACUGCAUGGGCAUAAUAUGAAGAUCGGUUACUGUGUCUAAACUUAAUAAUUUUAUCUUCCAUAUCUGUCAGUGCCCAAAAAAACAAAGGGGAGCCUAAGAUUUAAGUUACAUGCAGGUAUUCAGAAGACAAAAGUCUAUACACAACACCAAAGUGCUACAGGCAGUAUCUGAGAGUUAUGUUUUGUGAUUUUUAUUUUACCAUAGAUUGAGAGGUAGUGGCUUUGUCUCGAUGUUUUCUGAAUAUUGCUGAUUACUUGUACAUUAUACAUCUGAACUAUCUGCAUUAUGUAAGUAUCCAAGAUGGUCAGAUGAGACAUUGACAGUUUGAAUGUUUGUCUUAUGUCUAAUGUUUGUUAUUUUAAAACAAAACUGUCAAACCCACAUUUAUGAACCUUCCCUUUUUCUCACCUGAAACUGAUGAGUUCCUCAGCAAAGAGCUGUUGAAAGUUGAAAUUGAGAAAAACUUUUUAAUGCUUGUAUAAGAGCCUUUCACAAUCAUAGUAUUUUAUCAAACACAGCCAAUAAAUCACAAGAAAUAUGGCAACCCACUGCACACAACAAAAUCCCAUAAACAGGAAUGUGAUAAAGACAUAUAUCACUUCAAAUAAACAGUUUGAUAGAUACAUAUUGCGUACGAUGCUUGGAAAAAUGCUAUUCCAACAAAGUGGGUCUCAUGAAAAGUUUACAUCCGUGAAAAAUGACAGAAUGGUUUACGUUUAAUGACUCAUCUAAAAGACUACACUUCUGACGGUGCAGCACUCUUUCUAGUGCUCCUGAGACAUCACUCGUACUCCUGCAUCAUUGUGUAGGUUCACGCAAGAGAUUUGACCACAUCACCACUAAAUACAAGAAAGAGGAGUAGUAAGAUUUCUAAUGGUUUGAUUCCAGCAAUGGGUGUUGUUCUCAUUUGUUUUCCUGAGAGCUGCUAAUAUCUCAUCUUCCAGAGUACUUGUUUCAGCUUUUCUAGGGUUCCUGUUGGUAAUCAGUUUACUGAGUUGCGUAUUUGGGUGGAAGGAGAAUUGCUGUAUCACCUGUUCUAUAAUAUUACCAGUAAGAAGAAGCCUAGACGAGGCGGUCUUUUCAUUUUUAAUCUGCAGUGCUGAAUGCCAGGGACUAACUGACAUGCAGUAGGGUGGAGAUCUGUGCUUGACUCUCAAUAAAGUAUUAGAAACGUAGAGAGAGGAUACAUUGUAUGUAGCUUAGCCAGAUCUUGUCCUUAUCGAAAAGUAGGGGGUUAUUGGUCAGCAGCCAGGGGUAGGUAUUCUGACUGACAAUAAUAUCCCUCCUUAAUCUGGGGAUUAGAAAGUCAAUGGUCUUGACUGGAAUCUACUGACACCAAUGCAGUGCAAGAAAUUAGCUUGAUUUUAGGUUUUCACACACCUUCCUACCUCAGUACUACAUCUAGUAUUGUGUUUAUCCACUGAACUAUUUAGUGGAAAUAAUUAAGAAUCCAGCGAUUACUACUAACCAGUUAUGUUGUUCACAUUUUGCUCUUUGCAAGACGUUGUAAAAUUAAAAGUUGUAAUUGAAAUAAAUUGUUGGAACUUGAUUUACAAGAUAGACCUCAUCUCAAGUGAAGUAAACAUGUGCACAAACCAAUAAACAGUUUUGUGCACUUAGGUGCUGUUUUGCUCAGUCUUAUAAAAGUUUAUUUAAAGUAUUAUAGAGCUGUAUGAUAAGCUGGUUUUUGCUUCUAAGCAGGACUACACACCAUCUCUUUCCAUCCAUCACAAGCUCAGCACCUGUGCUCACUUUAUGAAUGUCAAUUAAGGGUGUUUAUACGAUCAUAAAUGUUCCUGUAGGCUAAAAAAAAUAAAAUGAAUAUUAUUCCAAUUGUCCUUUAUUAAGUGAGAAGUUUGCAUUAGUUGUGGAAGGCAAAAUAAAGAAAAGAAACAUUCA
Molecule: long non-coding RNA, 4650 nt
Organism: Rhincodon typus (whale shark)
Lineage: Eukaryota; Metazoa; Chordata; Chondrichthyes; Orectolobiformes; Rhincodontidae
Exons: 3
Source: RefSeq, a predicted model, not a curated record